This 450-nucleotide ribosomal RNA is filed under the name uncultured bacterium. Its description in RNAcentral is "partial 16S ribosomal RNA". It matches the Rfam family "Bacterial small subunit ribosomal RNA", at positions 354 to 796 of the family's 1533-position model. The record is from RNAcentral.
GUGGGGAAUAUUGGACAAUGGGCGAAAGCCUGAUCCAGCCAUGCCGCGUGUGUGAAGAAGGUCUUCGGAUUGUAAAGCACUUUAAGUUGGGAGGAAGGGCAGUAAGUUAAUACCUUUCUGUUUUGACGUUACCGACAGAAUAAGCACCGGCUAACUUCGUGCCAGCAGCCGCGGUAAUACGAAGGGUGCAAGCGUUAAUCGGAAUUACUGGGCGUAAAGCGCGCGUAGGUGGUUUUGUAAGUUGGAGGUGAAAUCCCCGGGCUCAACCUGGGAACUGCCUCCAAAACUGCAUGACUAGAGUACGGUAGAGGGUAGUGGAAUUUCCUGUGUAGCGGUGAAAUGCGUAGAUAUAGGAAGGAACACCAGUGGCGAAGGCGACUACCUGGACUGAUACGGACACUGAGGUGCGAAAGCGUGGGGAGCAAACAGGAUUAGAUACCCCAGUAGUCC